GAUGAACGCUGACGGCGUGCCUAAUACAUGCAAGUCGAGCGAACAGAUGAGGAGCUUGUUCCUCUGACGUUAGCGGCGGACGGGUGAGUAACACGUGGAUAACCUACCUAUAAGACUGGGAUAACUUCGGGAAACCGGAGCUAAUACCGGAUAAUAUAUUGAACCGCAUGGUUCAAUAGUGAAAGACGGUUUUGCUGUCACUUAUAGAUGGAUCCGCGCCGCAUUAGCUAGUUGGUAAGGUAACGGCUUACCAAGGCAACGAUGCGUAGCCGACCUGAGAGGGUGAUCGGCCACACUAGAACUGAGACACGGUCCAGACUCCUACGGGAGGCAGCAGUAGGGAAUCUUCCGCAAUGGGCGGAAGCCUGACGGAGCAACGCCGCGUGGGUGAUGAAGGUCUUCGGAUCGUGAAACUCUGUUAUUAGGGAAGAACAAAUGUGUAAGUAACUAUGCACGUCUUGACGGUACCUAAUCAGAAAGCCACGGCUAACUACGUG
RNAcentral lists this ribosomal RNA (497 nucleotides) under uncultured bacterium. Its description in RNAcentral is "partial 16S ribosomal RNA". It matches the Rfam family "Bacterial small subunit ribosomal RNA", at positions 28 to 507 of the family's 1533-position model. The record is from RNAcentral.